Molecule: long non-coding RNA, 389 nt
Filed under: Hermetia illucens (black soldier fly)
Lineage: Eukaryota; Metazoa; Arthropoda; Insecta; Diptera; Stratiomyidae
Description: uncharacterized LOC119647803, transcript variant X5
Source: RNAcentral
GUUUCCUUUGACGCUCAGAACGGCUGCGUUCCGUAUGGCAUCCGCAAGCCUCGCGGAGUGCACGACGACGAGCGCGGCGACAGUCGUUCUCUUUUGCUUGUGAUCGUUUACCUGUCAAAAAAGAAUUUGAGGAGGUAAACGCUCACAAGGAAAGGGAACGACUUUCACCGCGCUCGUAGUCGCGCACCCCGCGAGGCUCCCAAGCGCCGUACGGCACGCAGUUAACGCUUGGAAAUUGUGUCAUUUGAAGUUCGCGUGUAACAUCGCCUCAAACCUUUCCCGCUUUCUUUUAAGGUUUUGUGUCAAACAAACCAAUUGUCACGAAAUUUGACUGGUCAUGUGGAGUAUCAAACGAAAGGACUCGAUUAGUACUUUCUGAAACUGAUAUU